CGACGGGCCACGAUCCCCCAACGGGUCGCGACCCUUCUGUGAGGAAGGGAGUC
Molecule: regulatory RNA element, 53 nt
Rfam family: serC leader
About the family: This family is a putative regulatory RNA structure that is found upstream of the serC-serA operon in some alpha-proteobacteria. The final stem of the structure overlaps the ribosome binding site of the serC reading frame.
Source: Rfam